UAUGUCUGUGUUAGUGCCAUCCAGCGGCCUGGGCCUAAACCUGCCCGUGCACAUGAAGUGCGCAGCCCAUACUUUCAACUUGGUAGCCAGCGUGGAUGCCGACAAGGCUCUUGACAAUGCUUUGUUCAAGUCGGCCUAGAGGAAGGCUAUG
Long non-coding RNA from Octopus sinensis (East Asian common octopus), 151 nucleotides. RefSeq lists it as uncharacterized. NCBI's taxonomy places the organism in Eukaryota, Metazoa, Mollusca, Cephalopoda, Octopoda, Octopodidae. The record is from RefSeq and is a predicted model, not a curated record. The transcript has 3 exons.